AAGACCCUCAUCUUUAGUUGCAACUGGUAAGUCCGCUUAUCAGGCACAUUAAAGAGACCGCUGGCGCUAAGUCAGAGGAAGGCGAGGGCAACGGUAGGUCAGUAUGCCCUGAAUCCUUCGGGCUACACGCGCGCUACAAAGGCCAGGACAAUGGGCUUCGACACCGAAAGGUGAAGGUAACCCCGAAACCUGGUCAUAGUUCGGAUCGAGGGUUGAAACUCACCCUCGUGAAGGUGGAUUCCGUAGUAAUCGCGUGUCAACAUCACGCGGUGAAUAU
RNAcentral lists this ribosomal RNA (277 nucleotides) under uncultured archaeon. Its description in RNAcentral is "partial 16S rRNA". It matches the Rfam family "Archaeal small subunit ribosomal RNA", at positions 1047 to 1325 of the family's 1478-position model. The record is from RNAcentral.